CAAUAGCGUAUAUUAAAGUUGUUGCGGUAAAAAAGCUCGUAGUUGGAUUUCUGUUGAGAGCGACCGGUCCAUACCAUGUAUGCGUAUCUGGCUUGCUCUCGGCAUCCUCUCGAUAGACGUUACUGCGCUUGAUUGCGUGGUGCGGAUCUCGGGACUUUUACUUUGAGGAAAUUAGAGUGUUCACGGCAGGCUUUCGCCAGAAUACAUUAGCAUGGAAUAAUACUAUAGGAUCUUGGUUCUAUUUUGUUGGUUUCUAGGAUUGAGAUAAUGAUUAAUAGGGACAAUUGGGGGCAUUCGUAUCAACACGUCAGAGGUGGAAUUCUUGGAUUGUGUUGCGACGAACUACUGCGAAAGCAUUUGCCAAGGAUGUUUUCAUUGA
This 379-nucleotide ribosomal RNA is filed under the name uncultured eukaryote. Its description in RNAcentral is "partial 18S ribosomal RNA". It matches the Rfam family "Eukaryotic small subunit ribosomal RNA", at positions 592 to 976 of the family's 1831-position model. The record is from RNAcentral.